This is a long non-coding RNA of Triticum aestivum (bread wheat), 1701 nucleotides long. RefSeq lists it as uncharacterized. NCBI's taxonomy places the organism in Eukaryota, Viridiplantae, Streptophyta, Magnoliopsida, Poales, Poaceae. The record is from RefSeq and is a predicted model, not a curated record. The transcript has 4 exons.
CGGGCGGCACCGUCUGUGGAGUCGCCGUUAACGACGGGCAAAAUGAAUGCAUCCCCGUCCACCAGCUUCGGCCCCUGUUUUCAGCGAAAGAUGAUCGAGCCGAGUAAAAAUUAGAGCCGGAGGGCGGCGUCGGUGGCGGCUACAUCGGCGGCAUUCUCGCACACUGAUUCCCUGCUCGCAUCACCGGACGUGGUCUCCGAUUACUGCUGGCGCAGCCGUGGCGAUGGAUUUUCCCGUCGCUCCGAUGGACAGGUUGCCCAUAUUCCCGGAUGAGGCGGCUAGCGCGGCGGCCCUAAUUGAAUUGAUUGGUGGGGCUGGUCGUGCGGAAAAGGAAUUAACCAACGGAUCUGGCGGGGCGGUGGUUGGAGGAUUUGGGCGCAGCUCAGCUGGGCAGUUCGGGGGUGGUGCUAUGUGCGGCGAGGAAACAAGUGUGGCUGCCGGCGGCCCUGCCGUGUCAAUGCAAACGCCGUUGACCAGGGCGGCGUUGAAGCACAUUUUGAUGGAGAUCAGGGCGCUGUGAUUCAAGAUCGAACAGGAAGUGGCGAUGGAGGCUCUCUGCACAAUCGACUGGCAAGGUGGAUCCCCAAGCCCCUGGAUGGACUAAGAGGUAAUUGGGAUUUUCUGUAGAACUGCAUUCUGUACCUUGCAACCGUAGUUGGAAUGAUGCCCUGUUUAUUUUAGUUUGUUAUGCUGGCUAGUGAAUUGUCAGUUUGAUAAAACCAUUGUUUGGGGACUUUUUGCUGACGGCGGAGAGAGCUGCGGCCCUGAGGCCUUCUGUUGGUGGCCGGGUAUCAAGCAUGAGCAAGCUAGCAAUGGCGACGGACUUUCCCGUACACCAAUAGACAGUGUUAGAGUUGGAAAACACCUGCCGAACGCCUUGUCCGGAAAAGAGUUGGCGCCCUACCGCAGACGAUCCGCGGAUACACGGACAACCUCGGUGGUCAUUUAGUGGAAACUGAGAGUGUGUUGACAUUCGACUCUCUCGAAGAAGAUUGGGAGCACGGAUUUGGGAUAAGAUAUGGGAAAAGCAGGCUCAAUGCUGAGAAGACCAAGUGUAUGCAGGAAGUUGUCUGCAGGUGCUCUGGGAAGCCAAUAAAAGAAAACGGCAGGGCUUGCCGUUGUGAGUGCCCGGCUAUGAUCAGAUUGCUUCGGACACACGACAACGGGUGGUACAUAACCGAACACAGGGUGAAUCACAACCACUCACUGACACCUACAUGUGGCGAGAAGGUGAAUUGGCCGGCCCACAUCAAAUUGAUGUCUACAUGAAGGAUCUGGUAAAACAGUUAUAAAUAAUAGCAAGUUUUUGCGGGUAGACACAUUGGCUGGCAUUUGUGCCCCUGAGAAGAAGUGAAAUGCAGGACAGCCGACAAACAGCUGUGAUAAAGCACCAUAUGAGGAGUUGAGUAUGAGAACUACAUUUUGCAGCAUCUGCAGAGGUAAGAGGCAUAAGAAGACCACCCGUCGACAGAGAGAUGAUUUGCCGAAACAACCAAGGAAGGAAGCAAAAUGCAGUAACUGUGGUGCAGCGGGACACAGGAAAAAUAAUUGCAUGAACCCUGAAGGUGUUAAGCUGCAAAUUGGGCCUGCAUGGCUAGGGAUAGCAGAUUUAAGAUUCAAUUUGCAAACAAACAAAUGUUUUAUGAUUGAGGCAAGCUUGUUGUGACGCCUGGGUAAUUAAGCUACAGUAAUCCCCGCUAA